GGGUUGUGAGGUUAAGCGACUAAGCGUACACGGUGGAUGCCCUGGCAGUCAGAGGCGAUGAAGGGCGUGCUAAUCUGCGAUAAGCGCCGGUAAGGUGAUAUGAACCGUUAUAACCGGCGAUACCCGAAUGGGGAAACCCAGUGUGAUUCGUCACACUAUCAUUAACUGAAUCCAUAGGUUAAUGAGGCGAACCGGGGGAACUGAAACAUCUAAGUACCCCGAGGAAAAGAAAUCAACCGAGAUUCCCCCAGUAGCGGCGAGCGAACGGGGAGGAGCCCAGAGCCUGAAUCAGCAUGUGUGUUAGUGGAAGCGUCUGGAAAGGCGCGCGAUACAGGGUGACAGCCCCGUACACAAAAGCGCAUAUGCUGUGAGCUCGAUGAGUAGGGCGGGACACGUGGUAUCCUGUCUGAAUAUGGGGGGACCAUCCUCCAAGGCUAAAUACUCCUGACUGACCGAUAGUGAACCAGUACCGUGAGGGAAAGGCGAAAAGAACCCCGGCGAGGGGAGUGAAAAAGAACCUGAAACCGUGUACGUACAAGCAGUGGGAGCCCCACCACUAAGCCAGUGGUGAACUCCACAUACGCAUCCUUUGCUGAGGAUACGGUUAACGGAGCGAAAGCGACGUUCAACCUCAAAAGAAGCAGAGGGGGCUUAGUGGUGGGGUGACUGCGUACCUUUUGUAUAAUGGGUCAGCGACUUAUAUUCUGUAGCAAGGUUAACCGAAUAGGGGAGCCGGAGGGAAACCGAGUCUUAAUUGGGCGUUAAGUUGCAGGGUAUAGACCCGAAACCCGGUGAUCUAGCCAUGGGCAGGUUGAAGGUUGGGUAACACUAACUGGAGGACCGAACCGACUAAUGUUGAAAAAUUAGCGGAUGACCUGUGGCUGGGGGUGAAAGGCCAAUCAAACCGGGAGAUAGCUGGUUCUCCCCGAAAGCUAUUUAGGUAGCGCCUCGUGAAUUCAUCUCCGGGGGUAGAGCACUGUUUCGGCUAGGGGGCCAUCCCGGCUUACCAACCCGAUGCAAACUGCGAAUACCGGAGAAUGUUAUCACGGGAGACACACGGCGGGUGCUAACGUCCGUCGUGAAGAGGGAAACAACCCAGACCGCCAGCUAAGGUCCCAAAGUCAUGGUUAAGUGGGAAACGAUGUGGGAAGGCCCAGACAGCCAGGAUGUUGGCUUAGAAGCAGCCAUCAUUUAAAGAAAGCGUAAUAGCUCACUGGUCGAGUCGGCCUGCGCGGAAGAUGUAACGGGGCUAAACCAUGCACCGAAGCUGCGGCAGCGACGCUGAUGCGUUGUUGGGUAGGGGAGCGUUCUGUAAGCCUGUGAAGGUGGCCUGUGAGGGUUGCUGGAGGUAUCAGAAGUGCGAAUGCUGACAUAAGUAACGAUAAAGCGGGUGAAAAGCCCGCUCGCCGGAAGACCAAGGGUUCCUGUCCAACGUUAAUCGGGGCAGGGUGAGUCGACCCCUAAGGCGAGGCCGAAAGGCGUAGUCGAUGGGAAACGGGUUAAUAUUCCCGUACUUGGUGUUACUGCGAAGGGGGGACGGAGAAGGCUAUGUUGGCCGGGCGACGGUUGUCCCGGUUUAAGCGUGUAGGCUGGUUUUCCAGGCAAAUCCGGAAAAUCAAGGCUGAGGCGUGAUGACGAGGCACUACGGUGCUGAAGCAACAAAUGCCCUGCUUCCAGGAAAAGCCUCUAAGCAUCAGGUAACAUCAAAUCGUACCCCAAACCGACACAGGUGGUCAGGUAGAGAAUACCAAGGCGCUUGAGAGAACUCGGGUGAAGGAACUAGGCAAAAUGGUGCCGUAACUUCGGGAGAAGGCACGCUGACAUGUAGGUGAAGUGAUUUACUCAUGGAGCUGAAGUCAGUCGAAGAUACCAGCUGGCUGCAACUGUUUAUUAAAAACACAGCACUGUGCAAACACGAAAGUGGACGUAUACGGUGUGACGCCUGCCCGGUGCCGGAAGGUUAAUUGAUGGGGUCAGCGCAAGCGAAGCUCCUGAUCGAAGCCCCGGUAAACGGCGGCCGUAACUAUAACGGUCCUAAGGUAGCGAAAUUCCUUGUCGGGUAAGUUCCGACCUGCACGAAUGGCGUAAUGAUGGCCAGGCUGUCUCCACCCGAGACUCAGUGAAAUUGAACUCGCUGUGAAGAUGCAGUGUACCCGCGGCAAGACGGAAAGACCCCGUGAACCUUUACUAUAGCUUGACACUGAACAUUGAGCCUUGAUGUGUAGGAUAGGUGGGAGGCUUUGAAGUGUGGACGCCAGUCUGCAUGGAGCCGACCUUGAAAUACCACCCUUUAAUGUUUGAUGUUCUAACGUGGACCCGUAAUCCGGGUUGCGGACAGUGUCUGGUGGGUAGUUUGACUGGGGCGGUCUCCUCCUAAAGAGUAACGGAGGAGCACGAAGGUUGGCUAAUCCUGGUCGGACAUCAGGAGGUUAGUGCAAUGGCAUAAGCCAGCUUGACUGCGAGCGUGACGGCGCGAGCAGGUGCGAAAGCAGGUCAUAGUGAUCCGGUGGUUCUGAAUGGAAGGGCCAUCGCUCAACGGAUAAAAGGUACUCCGGGGAUAACAGGCUGAUACCGCCCAAGAGUUCAUAUCGACGGCGGUGUUUGGCACCUCGAUGUCGGCUCAUCACAUCCUGGGGCUGAAGUAGGUCCCAAGGGUAUGGCUGUUCGCCAUUUAAAGUGGUACGCGAGCUGGGUUUAGAACGUCGUGAGACAGUUCGGUCCCUAUCUGCCGUGGGCGCUGGAGAACUGAGGGGGGCUGCUCCUAGUACGAGAGGACCGGAGUGGACGCAUCACUGGUGUUCGGGUUGUCAUGCCAAUGGCACUGCCCGGUAGCUAAAUGCGGAAGAGAUAAGUGCUGAAAGCAUCUAAGCACGAAACUUGCCCCGAGAUGAGUUCUCCCUGAGACUUAGAGUCUCCUGAAGGAACGUUGAAGACGACGACGUUGAUAGGCCGGGUGUGUAAGCGCAGCGAUGCGUUGAGCUAACCGGUACUAAUGAACCGUGAGGCUUAACCUUACAACGCCGAAG
RNAcentral lists this ribosomal RNA (3026 nucleotides) under Salmonella enterica subsp. enterica serovar Senftenberg. RNAcentral describes it as "bacterial LSU rRNA". It matches the Rfam family "Bacterial large subunit ribosomal RNA". Lineage: Bacteria; Pseudomonadati; Pseudomonadota; Gammaproteobacteria; Enterobacterales; Enterobacteriaceae. The record is from RNAcentral. RNAcentral also lists the same sequence under 3 other names.